UUUUUCAGGCAAGGAAUGAUG
RNAcentral lists this non-coding RNA (21 nucleotides) under Caenorhabditis elegans. Lineage: Eukaryota; Metazoa; Nematoda; Chromadorea; Rhabditida; Rhabditidae. The record is from RNAcentral.